RNAcentral lists this ribosomal RNA (261 nucleotides) under uncultured archaeon. RNAcentral's name for it is "partial 16S ribosomal RNA". It matches the Rfam family "Archaeal small subunit ribosomal RNA", at positions 748 to 1009 of the family's 1478-position model. The record is from RNAcentral.
CAGCCCUAAACGAUGCGCGUUAGGUGUAUCGGUGACCACGAGUCACCGAGGUGCCGAAGGGAAACCGUGAAACGUGCCGCCUGGGAAGUACGGUCGCAAGGCCGAAACUUAAAGGAAUUGGCGGGGGAGCACUACAACGGGUGGAGCCUGCGGUUUAAUUGGACUCAACGCCGGGAAGCUCACCGGAUAAGACAGCGGAAUGAUUGCCGGGCUGAAGACCCUGCAUGACCAGCUGAGAGGAGGUGCAUGGCGUAGUCGUGU